RNAcentral lists this ribosomal RNA (1588 nucleotides) under Coptosoma sphaerulum. Its description in RNAcentral is "Coptosoma sphaerula partial 16S rRNA". The record is from RNAcentral. Lineage: Eukaryota; Metazoa; Arthropoda; Insecta; Hemiptera; Plataspidae.
UUAUAUUGAGUGUAAAUUGUAAUUCUUGUAAAAUUAUUAGUUAAGGACUUUAAAUUAAAAGAAUUUGACGGUAAUUAUAUCAUUUCAGAGGAAUCUGUCCUGUAAUUGAUAAUCCACGAUAAAUUUUACCUUAAUUUGUUUGGUUGUAUAUCUCUGUCUGAAGAAUGUUCUUUAAGGAUAAAAAUUUUCUUUUUCUUUAAUUGGUUUUAUGUCAGGUCAAGGUGCACUUUUAUUAAGGGUUGAGAUGGAUUACAUUGAUUUUAAAUUAUGGAUUGUAUACAUUUUAUUUAUGGAUUGAAAUAGGAUUUGAAUGUAAUUUAUAUUAUAUUUUAUUUAUGAUAUUUGCUCUAUAUUAAGUACACAUCGCCCGUCGCUCUCGUUGUUUAUUUAAAAUGAGAUAAGUCGUAACAAAGUAGGCCUACCGGAAGGUGGGCCUGGAUUUAUAUCAAAUUAAUCCAAGGGAAGACAGUUUUUUACAUUAACUGUAUAUUUGUGCAAUUCAAAUUGAUUUGAGAGUUUUAAAAUAUUUAGUUGAUUUUUUAUUUUUUUAAUUUUAAUAGAAAUAACUUUAAUUAUUAGUAUUUAAAUGGAAAUUAUUUUGUUAUUGAUAGCUUAUUUUACUGUGAAGGUUUAUAUAUUUUAAAAUAUAUAAGUAGGAAUAUUUUCUGUACCUUUUGCAUCAGGGUUUAUCAAUUUAUAUUAAUUAAUUAUUAAUUUUCCCGAAAUUAUAAGGGAUAUCUCAGUAUGAAUUUUGUUGUUUUAAAGCCAUGAAUAAUACUGAAAUAGGGAAUAUAUUUUAUUCAAUUAUAAAUAUCUGGUUUCUUGAGAUUUGAAUUUAAUUCAGAAUUAUUUUUAUUAAUUUUAAAAUUUUAUUUUUUUUAAUAUUAUAAUUUAACAUUAUAGGGGAUAAGCUCUAUGUUGAAUUUAUAGGUUUUAUUUAAUUAUAUUUAAGUUUUGUAGGUUUAAUAAUGUCCAUUAAUUUAUUUUGUUAUAAUGGUGCUUAAACUAAUUUUUAUUUUAGAUUACCUUAAUUUUUUAUCAAGAUUUUUGAUUUAAUAUUUUAUUCAAAGCAAUAAUGAUAGAAUUAGUAAUUUUUUUAUUUUAUAUAUAGUAAUUCGGCAAAUUUUAUUUUCACCUGUUUAUCAAAAACAUGUCCUAUUGUUUAUAUUUAUAUUAGGUCAGACCUGCUCAAUGAUUAUUUAUUAAAUAGCCGCAGUAUUUUGACUGUGCAAAGGUAGCAUAAUCAUUUGUCUCUUAAUUGGGGGCUUGUAUGAAGGGUUUAAUGAAAAAUAUACUUUCUUUAUAUAAAAGGAUGAAUUUAACAUUUAGGUUAAAAGGCUUAAAUGAUUUUAUGGGACGAGAAGACCCUAUAGAAAUUUACUAUUUUUUUAAAAUAAAUUUUAAUUAAAAUUAUAAAUUUAUUUUUUGAUGAUAGUUUCGUUGGGGCGAUGUGAAGAUAUUAUAAACUCUUUAUUAUUAGAUUUUAUUAAUGGAUAUUUAAAUUGAUCCCUUAUUAGGGAUUUAAAGAAUAAUUUACCUUAGGGAUAACAGCGUAAUUUUUUCGGAGAGUUCUUAUUGAUGAAAGAUU